UAGGGAAUCUUCGGCAAUGGGGGCAACCCUGACCGAGCAACGCCGCGUGAGUGAAGAAGGUUUUCGGAUCGUAAAGCUCUGUUGUAAGAGAAGAACGUAUGUGAGAGUGGAAAGUUCACACAGUGACGGUAACUUACCAGAAAGGGACGGCUAACUACGCGCCAG
This 165-nucleotide ribosomal RNA is filed under the name uncultured bacterium. RNAcentral describes it as "partial 16S rRNA". It matches the Rfam family "Bacterial small subunit ribosomal RNA", at positions 355 to 511 of the family's 1533-position model. The record is from RNAcentral.